Molecule: ribosomal RNA, 497 nt
Filed under: uncultured bacterium
Lineage: Bacteria
Description: partial 16S ribosomal RNA
Rfam family: Bacterial small subunit ribosomal RNA
Source: RNAcentral
GAUGAACGCUGGCGGCGUGCCUAAUACAUGCAAGUCGAGCGAACAGACGAGGAGCUUGCUCCUCUGACGUUAGCGGCGGACGGGUGAGUAACACGUGGAUAACCUACCUAUAAGACUGGGAUAACUUCGGGAAACCGGAGCUAAUACCGGAUAAUAUAUUGAACCGCAUGGUUCAAUAGUGAAAGACGGUUUUGCUGUCACUUAUAGAUGGAUCCGCGCCGCAUUAGAUAGUUGGUAAGGUAACGGCUUACCAAGGCGACGAGGCGUAGCCGACCUGAGAGGGUGAUCGGCCACACUGGAACUGAGACACGGUCCAGACUCCUACGGGAGGCAGCAGUAGGGAAUCUUCCGCAAUGGGCGAAAGCCUGACGGAGCAACGCCGCGUGAGUGAUGAAGGUCUUCGGAUCGUAAAACUCUGUUAUUAGGGAAGAACAAAUGUGUAAGUAACUAUGCACGUCUUGACGGUACCUAAUCAGAAAGCCACGGCUAACUACGUG